This 405-nucleotide ribosomal RNA is filed under the name uncultured bacterium. Its description in RNAcentral is "bacterial SSU rRNA". It matches the Rfam family "Bacterial small subunit ribosomal RNA", at positions 357 to 776 of the family's 1533-position model. The record is from RNAcentral.
GGGAAUAUUGGGCAAUGGGCGCAAGCCUGACCCAGCAACGCCGCGUGAAGGAAGAAGGCUUUCGGGUUGUAAACUUCUUUUCUGAGGGACGAAGAAAGUGACGGUACCUCAGGAAUAAGCCACGGCUAACUACGUGCCAGCAGCCGCGGUAAUACGUAGGUGGCAAGCGUUAUCCGGAUUUAUUGGGUGUAAAGGGCGUGUAGGCGGGAAUGCAAGUCAGAUGUGAAAACUAUGGGCUCAACCCAUAGCCUGCAUUUGAAACUGUAUUUCUUGAGUGCUGGAGAGGCAAUCGGAAUUCCGUGUGUAGCGGUGAAAUGCGUAGAUAUACGGAGGAACACCAGUGGCGAAGGCGGAUUGCUGGACAGUAACUGACGCUGAGGCGCGAAAGCGUGGGGAGCAAACAGG